RNAcentral lists this transfer RNA (72 nucleotides) under Comatermes perfectus. Its description in RNAcentral is "tRNA-Tyr". The record is from RNAcentral. Lineage: Eukaryota; Metazoa; Arthropoda; Insecta; Blattodea; Kalotermitidae.
AGUAGAAUGGCUGAGUUUAAAAUAAGUGGUAGAUUGUAAAUCUAUUAAGGGGUGUAUUUAACCCUUCUACUA